CUUCUCAGUAUCAAUUUUGGGCUCAGAUUUUUCUAUUGGGUUAGCUUCAGUACUAACCUCUUUUUCUAAAUUUUUAUUUUGACUAGCAUCAGUACUAGCCUCUCUCACCUGGUCUGAAUAUGGGUCCUUAAGAAUUCUAUUACUUCUAAGCUCAAAGAUUACUUUGUCAUUUUUAAAUUGAGGACUUUUAGGUUGGACAUUGAAUUGAUGACUAGAUCCAGGUGGUUGAUGAGUGGAUGGGUUUUUCCUAGGAUUUGGUACUGGUUGGCUUGGAAGUUGACCUGGUUCUCUCCUCAUGGUAGACGC
RNAcentral lists this long non-coding RNA (306 nucleotides) under Elaeis guineensis (African oil palm). RNAcentral's name for it is "long non-coding RNA (EGUI_LNC081019)". The record is from RNAcentral. Lineage: Eukaryota; Viridiplantae; Streptophyta; Magnoliopsida; Arecales; Arecaceae.